CUCCCCUCAGCGGGAUCCAUGCAGCCACACUGUGGCUGAGCCUCUUCGCUAUUUCCUGGAGAAGAACUGAGUUGAUGGCAGUUGAGAGACUCGGAUUCUCCAGGGGCUUUCCUCUCCCAUCCUUUGCCUUUCCACGGAGCAGCAGCAACCAUCUCGGCCAUCUCCACCAUCAUGGCCCGUCCCGGAACCAGACGAGCAUUUCACCACUGCCGCCAUAGACGCCAGGCAUCUUGGCUCGGAGACCCCGUUUUUCAGUCCGCUGAUCACCUCCGUUCUGCCGCCAUCGUGUAGAGAAACUCCGCGGCCACCAUCUUGAGAAGGGCCUGGGGGUGGCCAUCUUUAGGAAGUCCCACGUACCUGCCACCUUGGGGAGAGCAGAGCUGCUACUGGGAUCUGGGGUCUCCUUGGAAGAUUAAGGAAACAUUAUUAAAUAUGCAGUGUUUCAUUGGCUAGGUUGUAAACCCCCUCUAGAUUGCAAGCUCCUUGAGGGCACCGAUAAUGUUUACCAGCUCCAUCGAUCUCCCUCCUAAAAGCUUAGUACAGUGUUCUGACCAUGGUAGGUGUUAAAUAAAAAACAUCGAUCGAUUAAUAGGUGUCUUGUUAAACGCAGAACAUUGAUGAUUCAAUGAAAUAUGCGACGUGAUGGACAAGACUGGUUUGGUUUUGACUCAUGAGUUUAAUAGGUUUUAUACAUUUCUGGUCUUUUCAAUUGUAGACGAUGGUGCUAAGAGUGAGACU
RNAcentral lists this long non-coding RNA (738 nucleotides) under Ornithorhynchus anatinus (platypus). Its description in RNAcentral is "lncRNA (ENSOANG00000049149.1)". The record is from RNAcentral. Lineage: Eukaryota; Metazoa; Chordata; Mammalia; Monotremata; Ornithorhynchidae.